RNAcentral lists this long non-coding RNA (1514 nucleotides) under Patiria miniata (bat star). RNAcentral describes it as "uncharacterized LOC119722356". Lineage: Eukaryota; Metazoa; Echinodermata; Asteroidea; Valvatida; Asterinidae. The record is from RNAcentral.
GUUAGGCACUUCAGCCACACAAGCACUUCCGCUGCCGAAAUCUGUGCUCACAUACCUUUACACGCAUAGCGCACACGUCGCUGUACAAAUCCUAUGGCAUCCGCUACUUCCGGCCAACACACAGUCCGUGGCACGCACUUUCGGCCACUUCGCAAACUCGGGUUUUAAGAUCGGUCGCAUUCGGUCGAAAUUCGCUAGUUUCCUAUUGGCCCAAUCCCUUAGAAUACGUCAUCAUCGGAGAGAAGAAGACCUUCGGCAUCUUUCGGCUUUAGUGCUUGAAAAUCGAUCAAUGGCUUCCACUUGAUCGCCAAGUUUACAUUUUUCCGACCGUCAAAAUUCACAUUUUGAGAGGACGAAUCGUGAAGCACUAAGAUUUUGCCACUGCACUGAUUUUAUGACCGUACGCAGAAGUCACUACAGAUCUGUUCAUGGGUAAACUUCAUCAAUUCCUCAGUCCACGAUUCAUCCUCCAUGGAUAGCAAAGGCGUUGAACCAGACUUUGGACGACAGGAAACAAAUCAUAUGUCUACUCCAUUAAUUAUAGGGAUGAAGAAGCGGAGUGGGAUUUUCCACUUUUGACAGAUCUAAAGAAAAAGGAACUUAUCAUACUGGACACUCUGUAAUUGUUAAAGUUCAACAGUUAGGCCUUUUGUUGUGGAUGGAGCUUCAGUAAUGAAGUAAAGAAGUGGCGACUUAAAGAAAAAACAAUGUUCAGUUCAUCAGGGGUACUGGGAAAGGAAAAUAAUGUUUAGUUAGAAUCAAAUUGAUUAUUGUUUGACUUCACUUUUAGUUAUGGAGUUUGCCCAUCAAUAGGCCUACUCCGCAAAAAUAGGCAUUUUGCACAUACCAUUACAUUUUCCCCCUUUUCUGAAUCAAUUUGUAUGGUAUUAGGUGUUGAUUGUAUUAGUUGAUUAACAAAUUAGUUGAGGCUUUUUGGAAGACUUAAUGCAUUUUCAUUCCUCAAAAUCAUUUUACAAAAGAUGAGUUCCGUUUGAAUUGGCAGUGUGAGCCAUUUACCAUUGUUUGUCUAACAUCAAAACAACCAUAACAGUUAGAGUUGUGUGUACAAGUGUAUUUAGAAGACUAAUUAAAUAUGCAAGAUGUGUAAUUAUGCUAAUAUUUCACAGCUAGUAAAGAUACCCUAUAUAUUUUCAGUGAAUGACCCAAAACUGAUUCAAAUAAGAAAAACCUCUUCAGCAUACUUGUUACACGUCUUUUCCCAGAAAAGAUGUGAAAUUGGCUAUUUUCACAUACAUGUACCUGUAAAUAUGCAAAUUAAAUCAUUAAAAAAAUGAGUCGGGUUUUAACACCUCUAUCUGAGCAACUAUUUGUUACAACACUGUUUGCAUGCAUGUGUAUUAUAGGUUUUUUGAGCAAAUUUAGGUUCGGAAAUGUUUUUCUCCUCAUUUUCACAUAAUUAGCUGAUAAAUUAUGCAAAUUUGGUAAUUAUGUACAAAUUAUAGAUCUAGUUGCUUUCCCUACAGCCAAAAUUUAAAUACUUGUUUGAAAUGUCA